This 478-nucleotide ribosomal RNA is filed under the name uncultured bacterium. RNAcentral describes it as "partial 16S ribosomal RNA". It matches the Rfam family "Bacterial small subunit ribosomal RNA", at positions 28 to 523 of the family's 1533-position model. The record is from RNAcentral.
GACGAACGCUGGCGGCGUGCUUAACACAUGCAAGUCGAGCGAUGAAGCUCCUUCGGGAGUGGAUUAGCGGCGGACGGGUGAGUAACACGUGGGUAACCUGCCUCAUAGAGGGGAAUAGCCUUUCGAAAGGAAGAUUAAUACCGCAUAAGAUUGUAGUAUCGCACGAUGCAGCAAUUAAAGGAGUAAUCCGCUAUGAGAUGGACCCGCGUCACAUUAGCUAGUUGGUGAGGUAACGGCUCACCAAGGCGUCGAUGCGUAGCCGACCUGAGAGGGUGAUCGGCCACAUUGGGACUGAGACACGGCCCAGACUCCUACGGGAGGCAGCAGUGGGGAAUAUUGCACAAUGGGGGAAACCCUGAUGCAGCAACGCCGCGUGAGUGAUGACGGUCUUCGGAUUGUAAAACUCUGUCUUCAGGGACGAUAAUGACGGUACCUGAGGAGGAAGCCACGGCUAACUACGUGCCAGCCGCCGCAGUAA